UAACCUACCCAUCAGAGGGGGAUAACACUUGGAAACAGGUGCUAAUACCGCAUAACAGUUUAUGCCGCAUGGCAUAAGAGUGAAGGCGCUUUCGGGUGUCGCUGAUGGAUGGACCCGCGGUGCAUUAGCUAGUUGGUGAGGUAACGGCUCACCAAGGCCACGAUGCAUAGCCGACCUGAGAGGGUGAUCGGCCACACUGGGACUGAGACACGGCCCAG
RNAcentral lists this ribosomal RNA (218 nucleotides) under uncultured bacterium. RNAcentral describes it as "partial 16S ribosomal RNA". It matches the Rfam family "Bacterial small subunit ribosomal RNA", at positions 122 to 334 of the family's 1533-position model. The record is from RNAcentral.